This 254-nucleotide ribosomal RNA is filed under the name uncultured bacterium. RNAcentral describes it as "partial 16S ribosomal RNA". It matches the Rfam family "Bacterial small subunit ribosomal RNA", at positions 524 to 776 of the family's 1533-position model. The record is from RNAcentral.
UACGGGGGGAGCAAGCGUUGUUCGGAUUUACUGGGCGUAAAGGGCGCGUAGGCGGUCAGCACAAGUCAGUUGUGAAAUCUCCGGGCUUAACUCGGAAAGGUCAACUGAUACUGUGCGACUAGAGUGCGGAAGGGGCAACUGGAAUUCCUGGUGUAGCGGUGAAAUGCGCAGAUAUCAGGAGGAACACCGGUGGCGAAGGCGGGUCUCUGGGCCGAUACUGACGCUGAGGAGCGAAAGCGUGGGGAGCGAACAGG